CCCCACCCCCAUACCGCCCUGAUUAUGCCUGAUCUUGUCUGAUCUUGGAAGCUAAGCAGGGUCAGGCCUGGUUAGUAAUUGGAUGGGAGACCGCCUGGGAAUACUGGGUGCUGUAGGCU
RNAcentral lists this ribosomal RNA (119 nucleotides) under Cebus imitator (Panamanian white-faced capuchin). Lineage: Eukaryota; Metazoa; Chordata; Mammalia; Primates; Cebidae. The record is from RNAcentral.